Molecule: ribosomal RNA, 253 nt
Filed under: uncultured bacterium
Lineage: Bacteria
Description: partial 16S ribosomal RNA
Rfam family: Bacterial small subunit ribosomal RNA
Source: RNAcentral
GACGUAGGGCGCGAGCGUUGUCCGGAUUUAUUGGGCGUAAAGAGCUCGUAGGCGGCUUGUCGCGUCGUUCGUGAAAACCUGCAGCUCAACUGCGGGUCUGCAGUCGAUACGGGCAGGCUAGAGUUCGGUAGGGGAGACUGGAAUUCCUGGUGUAGCGGUGAAAUGCGCAGAUAUCAGGAGGAACACCGAUGGCGAAGGCAGCUCGCUGGGACGGUACUGACGCUGAGGCGCGAAAGCGUGGGGAGCGAACAGG